Long non-coding RNA from Etheostoma spectabile (orangethroat darter), 124 nucleotides. RefSeq lists it as uncharacterized. The transcript has 2 exons. The record is from RefSeq and is a predicted model, not a curated record. Lineage: Eukaryota; Metazoa; Chordata; Actinopteri; Perciformes; Percidae.
AUAAUAGUCAAAUGAUUACCUGGGCUUGGUGCUAAUGGUGUAGGAGGUGGUGCGGGUGGAGGGAAGAUCUUCAGUGUACGAGCUGUAGCUCGUGUUUACCUUUUGGAGGAUGUAGAUGAGAGAG